Long non-coding RNA from Amphimedon queenslandica, 320 nucleotides. RefSeq lists it as uncharacterized. The transcript is spliced from 4 exons. NCBI's taxonomy places the organism in Eukaryota, Metazoa, Porifera, Demospongiae, Haplosclerida, Niphatidae. The record is from RefSeq and is a predicted model, not a curated record.
CUUUGAUGACGAUAUAAACAUCAUAUUUUGGGACACUUCUUAUUCAAUAUACAGAGAUUUAUUUAUUGAGACUUGGUCUGCAUUUACUUCUAAUCCACUGAUGAAAUUGGCAGACUUUGCCGGGAAAAGAGUCUGUUUUAAGGAUUUGAUGUUCCCCCUACUGGCUAGAAUGAGAGGUGGCCUGUAUUAUAAUACUUACAUUGUUCCUGGAUGCUAUAGAUCAGGUCUCAUGCAAGCUUUCUCAAAACAUUUAAUUAAGAGACUAAACAUAACACAAGAAAUACCAGAGGUAAAAGUAAACAAAAAUAAACAAUAAAAAU